Molecule: long non-coding RNA, 5964 nt
Organism: Oxyura jamaicensis (ruddy duck)
Lineage: Eukaryota; Metazoa; Chordata; Aves; Anseriformes; Anatidae
Exons: 2
Source: RefSeq, a predicted model, not a curated record
GCAAAACCCUCAAACGUAAAGUGUUUAUUCUUCAAGAACAAUAAAGAACAUUUUUGUGAGUUAUGUGUGAUUACAUACCUCAAAAUAUGUAUUUCACAGAAUCACAGAAUGGCCCAGGUUGGCAGGGAUCUCUGAAGAUCAUCCAGUCCAACCCCCCUACCGAGCAGGACCACCUAGAGCACGUUGUGAGGGAUGGCAUCCAGGUGGGGUUUGAAUAUCUCCAGAGAAGGAGACUCCACAACCUCUCUGGGCAGCCUGUCCCAGUGUUCUGCCACCCUUCCAGUGAAGAAGUGCCCCCUCAUAUUCAGCCAGAACUUCCUGUGCUUUACAUUCAUGCAUAUGGAUUACUUAGCCUAUUGAAUAAUGCUGCAUUCACAUCAUUGCACAUCAUCAAGAAUGGAAUUAAGACUACGUGAUGCCUUCCUUAUUAUCAUUUGACUUUGCAGUUACCUUACAAGGCUUGGUGUCAACAAAGCCUGCCUCCCCCGCUGCCUCACAAAUACUUCCCUGAUACACAAAUACUCUUAGACCCUCCUGCACACACACUUCAGAUUACACACUUAGAAAUUAAUGCUCUACAAGGCUAAUUGUAUCUAUCAGCCCAUUAAGUGAAACCACAUGCCCUUUCUUAUGUGAAAGCCAGACCUCUAUGAUGUGUAUACCUUUGUCUCUCCUGGAAAUUAAUAAAAAAAUUAGUGAGCCCUUUUAAGAUGGUUUCUGUCUGCAUAGCCACUUCUGCUUAAUUUAAACAAGGAAAUAUUUUUAUUUAUUUAUUUAUUUUUUCAGCUGCAAUAGGGCUUUGAAAAGUCAGUGAAUCCUGGUACAGUGCAUUCAAAAGCCAGCCUCUGAUAUUCUUUCUACCUGUAGUGUUCCCAGGGUUGCUUACAGAAAUCAGGGUAAGUCCUGUAAUUAUAAAAUGCAGGAGGGUCUUCUGCAGAGUACUACAAUACAGAAGCCUUUAAUAUGUUUAUCACACUUCUCUAAAAGUUAGGUGAGAUCUUGCUUCAAGUAACAAAUUGAAAAUUUUGCUCCAAAACUUUGUUUAAUUUUAACCUUAGCAUCCCUCAACAUCAGUUAAGUAUUUUUCCUUGCCCUCAGCUUUUAACUCACCUGGAAGAUUAUAGGCGCAGUUAUGUUCCUCUUACUUUUUGUUUUGUAAGGCUAGACUCCCAGACCAGUGUGUUGUUUUUUUUUUCCAGCUCCCAAGACUGGGUCAUCAUUUCUCCUACCAGCACAGCACUGCUUCACUGUAUCUCUUUGGACUUAUCAUUCUUGAAUGAGGAUGGCACAAAUGAUACACAAUGCUUAGAUGAUGCCUUGCAGUAUCACGUAUGAUGACAGAAACAGCUUCCCAUUAUUCCUGGAAACAUCUCAGUUACUACAACCUAUGAACGCCUUUGGUUUUUGCAUGGCCCCAGAGUAUCGAUAGCUUAUAGUCGGUGGCAGUUCAUCCACUACAUAUUCAACUGUUUCUUAUUCUGUCUUGCUUUCAGCUUCUAGGUUCACAGUUUUCAGCAGAACUUUUUAUUGUUAGUUCAUGACCUUGCAUUUUAUAGUCUUACCUGUACCUGCAUCUUAAUUUCUUGCAUUGUGAAGGUCAUCCAGUUGCAUUUUAAUCACUUCUGGGUGUUCCAGUCAAAUGAAUCAUUACUUUCUGUGUUUAAAAAUUUGCAUCAGUUGCAGCUUUAUUUUAUAAUUUAGUGGUCAACCACUGGAUUUCAACAGACUUCUGGGUGACAGUGGAAAAAAAUCACUCAAAUCAUGUCUUGUGUCAGGGCUGCCACCUAUAUAUUGCAAUAUUGUAGUAUUUCCAGACAUAUGAGGUAAAAAAAGCAUGAAUCAGUAGCAAAAUACGGUAAGAUUAUUUUUACUUAAAGCAUUUCAGUAUAGAGUGCCUCUUCUAUUCAGUAUUUUUUCAGUUAGUGCUUUCACAGCUUCCUUCAAAAUAAAAAUAAAGCCUUGUUAUACCAAACAUGAAAAGGAGGCUAUUCAUUUAGAACAUGAAGAGACAAACAAAGUGGGAAGUUUUUAAUACAACACAGUGUAUACUGAAAGAGUAGUGCAGCUAUAAUCAUUUUAAGAUGAACCUACAUAUUUCUUGGAAGUGAAUAAAAAGUCUUGAAUCAUAGCCCGAAUAUAACAUUCUGAUUGCUAUCAGUGGUACACAGCACUAAGUAUUUUAUUACUCAUUUUAUUACCUGUCAGGUACUGGCUAUUUAUGCUUACUGACGUUCGUGAUUACACAGCCCAGUAAUUGGAUACCUCGCCAGCUGCUAUUUAGAGUUUUGUGUAGAGAGGGAAGAAAAAUUGCUAAAAGCAAUUGAGAUAUCACUGCAGCAUUAUUGAUGAUGAAGGCAGAAAAACUUUUACUUGCUUUCAGCGGGGCUGCUGGGAACUGCUGGAAGGGGUGCAAACAGAUGGUGCCCCUCUGAGGAGGGCAAAAUUUAGGGGAGCCAUCGCUGUGCCACUGGAGGAGAGCUCCUGCAGGUCUGUGGUGCUCAGGCUGAGAGCAGCCGUGCCUGCAAGGACUUUGGGACCGUGGGUACCCAAAGCAAUAAAACGUCUUGCUAAAACUAUUUGUCUCUCACUGACAGGGUGGGAGAAGUACCACAGCUGCACCCGAGAUAAGCCUAAUUUCAGUUCUCCCAUGGAUUUCUUGGGUUAACUCGUCAGAUAGCAGUACCUCUGGCUGCAGUGCUGGCCUGUUCAGUGCUGCUGUGCUCUGAGGGUGUUACGGACCUGCUGUUCCCUAGGGCAGUGGGAGAUGGGCAGUGGGAAGGCCUAGUUUGUUUCUCAGGUCUGAAAUCUCCUGCACGCGGUGCAGGAGUCACACGCAGCUUUUCCCUGUGGUAAAUGUAAAAGAAACCUCAGCCUUGGUGCUUAAGGGACAUCAGCCUGUUGUUUUUUUGAUUCCUUAGCCCUUAGGACACAACGUGCUUCCAAGAGAGAGGUUAUGGCCCAGCUGUGCUUUCUGGCACCCAGAGCCCUCGUGUCCCUGCUGCAGCCUCUCCUACUGACUCCAGUGCCGCAGCCCUGCAGUCCUGCAUCCUGUUCCUCAUUCUCCUGUCGGUCUCUCCAGGUUUCCAAGUGGCAGUGACAGCAGUAAUAGCUGUAGCUGUAGGGCUUAGGCUGUUUAACCCAUAUUUGCCCUAGUUAGCAUUUCAGAGGAACAUUUGCUUCCCCUAGCCAUGCUACCAAGAUAACAAGUCUACAUUCUCUGACAGAUUUUAGUUUUAUUUUUUUUUUAAAACUGACCUUCCAGGAGUCCUACACUGUUUCUUCCUCUGUUCUGUCUAUGAAAUACUUAGUUUAUUGAGACUGAUUUUUGUCAAAAGUCCAUGAGAGUUGUUGGGCUUCUGAUUACUGUGUUAAUCCAGUCAAGGGAUGUCUGUAACAACAGCUGUCCUGCGGUUCCUGGUCUGCACUUUGAAACUGCGGUGGACUGGCUCUUUUGGGGAUCCACAUAGCACUGUCACAUGGAUUAGGGACAUGGUUUAGUGAUGGGCUUAGUAGUGUUAGGUGGUGGUUGGACUUGAGGAUCUUAAGGCCUUUUCCAACCUAAGUGAUUCUGAGAUUCCGUGAGAAACACAAUUGUAUUUGACCUGCUUGUGAAGGAGGAGAUAUGUAGGCUCCUGAAUUUUGAGCGCUUCCACCCCAGCUGGGGUGGAGCAGGCAGACUUCCACUUUCCUUAUGACUGGGGCAGGUGAAAUAAGAACUUGCCUGCAGUUCAUGUUCUCUUCUUUGUAAAGCCCAGAUUUGUGCUUUCCAGUGGGGAAGAAGCACUCAAGGUUAAAGUGCGUGGGCAGUUAGAAGUAUUCGUCACGUUUGUAUACACGUUUUAAUUAAAAGUGAAAUGGAAGUGGCUGACUUGGCAGGCAGGGAGAUUAGCAGCUUUACAGCUUCAUGUGGACAUGAGGGGAUAGUGUCAUUAGAACUGUAGCCUUGUGAGAUGCUGACUCUCCGUGCUUCUCUAAAGAGAGGAGAAGAAAUUUUGUUCAGAUCUGGUGAUACUGUUGGACUACUGUCAGGCAGGGGUAUGUCACAGCAUGAAGAGAAGAGCGGAAGGCAUCAGCAGUCCACUGUACACAUUCCUUUCCCUUACAAAGUCAAACCCUAGAAAAAUGCCUACAUAGAUGUUCCAGAACUUGACGUAAAUGUUGUCUAAAGAUCCUAUUUGCAUUCACUGUUUAAACAGCUCGACAAUAUUAUGAUGUGGUGUUUUAAAUGAAGACCAGAUACAAGUUCAGAUAAUUGCACCUUUGAGUGCAAAUUCUUAAGAAUGCAACUUUGGUUUUGUAAGCAGUCUGUACUUUUGUGACAGAUCAAUACAAACACAUGGAUCAUAUUUCCUAGACACACAGUCUAGAGUAAUUGCCACGGAGGCUAUGGGCCUAAAUUACUGGAUUGAACUUGUGAGUGGAAAGAGUCUCUCCAAGAGAUGUCAUUUUGAUUUCAUCCUAGACCCUGUGCCAUGCUCCCCAGAGCUUACUUUGACCCCUGGCCAAGUCAGUAGGGUAUUGUGAGUAUUGAGGACGUCCCUGGGCAUGCUCAGUGACCUUAUUACCUUCCAAAUUUAUAAACAAGGACUUCAUAAAAGAAGCAUCCCCGCUAUCUUAUUGGAAGUCACAGAAGCACUGCGGGAUCGUCAUUUCUUUGGAAGCUUUGGGCUUUCCUCCAUGCGCCAAGAGGCAGUUAGACUGAGAUCUCUCCAUCUGGCUCUGUGCUCUGGCAUCUCCUCACAUUGACGGCAUGGCUGUGGGCAAAAAGAAACAGAGUUAGACACAGUGAUGAGAACUGAUAACCAGAGAUAAUGUGAAGACACCCUCUCGAGCACUAUUUCAGAUGAUAGCGUUUCUUCUCUGCCACAGACACCAAAUCAGAAAUAUCUUCAUCCUAUUUCCAGUACGACCCUGUGUUGUAAAGGGUGUUUAGCUCCUGUGAAUAUCAAGUAACAGAACUCAGUGACUGCAGAGCUGAAGCAUAAAUAGAAAGAGGAACAAGCAGCAGUGAACCGCUGACACUUCAGCUGAGACUUGGCAAGCCCAUCUGGAAAUGCUUGUCCCAGCAACAAACAUCACAUUUGCACAGUACCUUCAUGAUUGCCUCUGUGUACAAAGUUUAUAUCAUCACUGACCUACUUUAUUUAUUUAUUUAUUUAUUUUAAUGCCGGCAGUGAAAAGGCAGAAGUUUAAUGUGAAGGGAAUUACAAUUCUUAAGUAUUUCAUGUCAUGCUGUAUUUUCCUAUGUGCGCAAACAUUGCCAUAUGCUCACUUAAUCUGUAAUGAACUGAGCCUGCAGCUGACCUGUGUGUUAACUUCCAGUGGGAAUCUGGCUCCUAAUGCCAUCUUUUGAAAGGAGACAUUCGACUUACUGGUGCAGCACCUCUGAUGUCAUCUGAGAAGGGGUGCAGAAACAUCGUGAUCUUAACUGUCAUCAAAUAUCCUCAUCUUUGGCAAGAUGUUUUUUUCUAUCCACUUAUUCCUGUCACAAAGGAUGCUGUGACUUGCUUUGCUUGGAAAUAGGUAAAUCUUCUCUGACAGAAAUUCCGGAUGUAUGAAACUUGUGAAUGAGCUUGAAGAUGGCAGAAACCACCUUCAGUGCUCUUCCCUUCUGUGCAUCACUAUUAAUUUCGAAGGGAUCUGGUGUGGCUCAGCACAGAGUUCGCCUGGAGGUGGUAAAGCUGCAGAAGUGGAAUGCAUCCUGGCUGCCAGGGCUGGGGCUGGGCCGUACGGACACGGUCGCUGCAGCCAACUGCCUGCGCCGGAGCAGGGAGUAGUGCAGCUGUACUGUGCGAGCGUGCUGGGACUCAUCAGCCGCGGCUGCGGCAGGACGUGCCUCAUGCCAUGGCUAAUUAGAGCAUCAGUGUACAUUGUUCAGUAAUUAGUAAAUUCUGCUAAGAAUAGGCAUUUUUAAUGGUCUCUUCACUGGUAUUCUUCCAUUAAAAAAGAUAAGUAGUUCUAUAA